AUUGUCUUCAAAUUAAUAGAUGCAACAAAGCUCAAAUGUAUCAUUUUCUUACAAAAAAAGGAAUGUGCUAUUCAGCACCUAUUAAAAACAAUGUCAAAUAAAGUUGAAAACUUGAGAAUCUUCAUUCGUGCAACAAAUCAGAAUAUAUUUCACACAUUUCAACUCAAGUAAUUUCUUCAAUUUGACACUUUAUCAACAAAGUUAU
Molecule: non-coding RNA, 205 nt
Organism: Pelobates cultripes (western spadefoot toad)
Lineage: Eukaryota; Metazoa; Chordata; Amphibia; Anura; Pelobatidae
Source: the annotation of a GenBank genome assembly